This is a ribosomal RNA of Mesocricetus auratus (golden hamster), 120 nucleotides long. The record is from Ensembl. Lineage: Eukaryota; Metazoa; Chordata; Mammalia; Rodentia; Cricetidae.
GUCUUACCAUACCACCCUGAAUGCGCCCAAUCUCAUCUGAUCUCGGAAGCUAAGCAGGGUUGGGCCUGGUUAGUACUUGGAUGGGAUACUUUAAUUUCUUAUACUAUGAAGUUGAAGAUA